RNAcentral lists this ribosomal RNA (494 nucleotides) under Oreina intricata. RNAcentral describes it as "partial 16S large subunit ribosomal RNA". It matches the Rfam family "Bacterial large subunit ribosomal RNA", at positions 1841 to 2598 of the family's 2925-position model. The record is from RNAcentral. Lineage: Eukaryota; Metazoa; Arthropoda; Insecta; Coleoptera; Chrysomelidae.
UAAUUUAAGGUCUAGCCUGCCCACUGAAAUUUUAAAUGGCCGUGGUAUUUUGACCGUGCUAAGGUAGCAUAAUCAUUAGUUUUUUAAUUAAAAACUGGAAUGAAAGGUUGGAUAAGAAAAUAGCUGUCUCUAUUAAAUUUAAUUAGAAUUUUAUUUUUAAGUUAAAAAGCUUAAAUAUUAUUAAAAGACGAGAAGACCCUAUAGAGUUUUAUUAUUUAAUAAAAAUUAUAUUUUAGUAUUAAUUUAUUUAUUUUAUUAAAUAAUUUAAUUGGGGUGAUUGAAAAAUUUAAUUAACUUUUUUUAUUUAAAAACAUUAAUUUAUGAUUGUAUGAUCCAAUAUUUUUGAUUAUAAGAUAAAAUUACCUUAGGGAUAACAGCGUAAUUUUUUUAGAAAGUUCAUAUUAAAAAAAAAGAUUGCGACCUCGAUGUUGGAUUAAAAUAAAUUUUUGGUGUAGGUGCUAAAAUAUUGGGUCUGUUCGACCUUUAAAAUUUUA